UGUCCAGUAGCUCAGCGGUAGAGCGUUUGGCUGUUAACCAAGUGGUCGUAGGUUCAAAUCCUACCUGGACAG
RNAcentral lists this transfer RNA (72 nucleotides) under Candidatus Uabimicrobium amorphum. Its description in RNAcentral is "Uabimicrobium amorphum tRNA". It matches the Rfam family "tRNA". Rfam says of the family: Transfer RNA (tRNA) molecules are approximately 80 nucleotides in length. The record is from Rfam by way of RNAcentral. Lineage: Bacteria; Pseudomonadati; Planctomycetota; Candidatus Uabimicrobiia; Candidatus Uabimicrobiales; Candidatus Uabimicrobiaceae.